AUUAGCUUAAGUUAAGCGAAUCAAAUGGUUUAAUGUAGGCCUAGCCUACACUGUCACCAGUUUUAGUCAAAUGUUAAAGGCUAUAAAUCAUUAAAUGAAAGCGAACUUUAAAGUUGUUGAAAUAGCCUAUUAUGUGCCAUUUGUUAUAUAAAAGGAUAAAUGCAUAUCAAGUAUGUCUGCUUUGUUUUAGGGCCAAAAUUCAACAUCACAACAAGGAUGUUAUCCUUCUUUCGAAGCCAUCAAGCAAUGUCGUUGUCAAGCAUCGCACUAAGCAACAGUUACAUGAACACUGACAUAUAUUGAAUGGGUUUGAAUUCCAGAAGUCUUGGGACCAGAAGACUGUCACUGAACAAAUAAGGGAAGCCUUUAGAGAAAAACUGUGGGCUGAAGUGAGCCUUGUUUUUCUAAUGGCAUGUGGCAACAGGUUGAUUUCCCCCAAACUGCGUGCUGGACAGGAACUGGAUGCAAAUCUCAUCCACAAAGUAUAUAAAUCGAAAGCAAUAUACCUCAGACCAUCAAAGCCAAUUUUGGUACUGGAUGAUGAUCCUUUUAAGGAUGAUAGCAGCGAUGAUGACAAUUUGAGUUCAACUCGCCAACUGCGGUCCUCAUCUCUAACACAAGCUAGACCAGUCCAACAACUGCCUCCCCAUCAAACUGUACUUCUGCAGUUCAGUCUUUUGUCUCAUCACUUGGACGUGAAGUCUUAUCCAGUCAUACUCCAGCCACAGCCUACCACAGCAAUAUCUCACCUAACACCACCAUUUCAGCAAGCGGUUCUUCUAAUCAUCUGCCAGUAUGUCCUUCCACCAGUCAGCCUUCUGCCCUACCAUUUGGAGGAACAACUUCAGUUGAUCCAACACUGGUCCUGACUAACCAAACAGUUCAAGCUUACCUUAGAGGGUUUUUUUGUGUGCAAAAUACACAUUUGUUUUAUUUUUCUUUAAAGGAAGGUUUAGAUUGUCAGAGUUCAAUGAAGUUAAAAUAAUAUUUAUGCAGAAAUCUAUUGUGGAGUAAGCUUAACAUUUUGAAAUAGGCUUGGUUUUGUGGCCAGGAUUAUCUUGCCAGUAAUAUUGAAACUGCUUGUUUUUCAGUGAUAAUUCAUGCAUGCAUGCAAUUGAUAUUUUAAGUUUGAUAGUGUCUGCUCUAAUCAUCUGUGCUUGAUUGCAUUACAUGCUCCUAGAUUUAUUUGCAUGGACCAUUAAAACAAAAACUUGUUGCAAGUAUUUUUGAGCUUCAAGAGUUCAAAUCUUACUGUUGGGAUAGCUGGAUAAAGUGUACAAGCAUCCUAUAGGUGACACACUGACUGACCUGACAUAUUGUCUAAUAACAUUAAAUAUUGAUAUGAUUUACUCGGUAAGGAAUUGUUUACCAAAACUGAUCUACACACUGGCAUUACUUUGACAGAUUGUAAUUUAGGCUUAUUAGUGACAAAAUAAUUAGUGAUGCCUUAUACUUUUUUGACUCUUGUUAGUCUUGUUCUUUUACUACUAAAAUCUGUUUCUCUUGAUUUCCAUUUCUGCAAUUUUUCAUUAUUGGUAGAUUUGGUUUAUCCUGUUCAACAAAGGACAUAUGUUAAAGUCACAUUUUCAUUACCUUUAUUGAGAUGUAUAGAUCCAAAAGCAUGAAAAAAUUUGGUUUUCACAGUGUUUCAUGUUUCACCUUUUUCAGUAACAAGUUUCUGAACAUAAACAUGAUACAAUUAUACCAUGACCUUAAAACUAUAACAGUAUCUUUAAGUAAAGUGUUCUGUCACAUAGGCAGUGAAAGGCAGUUUUGCUUUGUAUUACACAACUAUAGUAAGUAAAUAUGUGCUUCUUCUAUUGAUGUAAACAUAAUCUUUGUCAAGUUAUGCAGUGUAGCUUCUGGAUGGUUUGGUUUCUCUUUUAAGACCGCACUGUUGCUUGCUCUGGAGGGAACUACAAGAACUGUUGGGUCCUUGUAAAUUAUGGAGUGGGGUGUAGACCUACUUUAUCUGUAAAGUGUCUUGAGAGAACUCUUGUUAUGAAUUGAUACUAUAAAUAAAAUUGAAUUGAAUUACGAUCACAUAUUAGGAAUGCCUCCCACAAAAAUGCACAAGGUUG
This is a long non-coding RNA of Etheostoma spectabile (orangethroat darter), 2081 nucleotides long. RefSeq lists it as uncharacterized. Lineage: Eukaryota; Metazoa; Chordata; Actinopteri; Perciformes; Percidae. The transcript is spliced from 3 exons. The record is from RefSeq and is a predicted model, not a curated record.